UGACCUCGGAUCAGGUAGGGAUACCCGCUGAACUUAAGCAUAUCAAUAAGCGGAGGAAAAGAANNCANCAGGGAUUACCUCAGUAACGGCGAGUGAAGCGGUAACAGCUCAAAUUUGAAAUCUCCCUUCCAGGCGAGUUGUAAUUUGUAGAAGAUGCUUUGGGUAUGGCCCCGGUCUAAGUCCGUUGGAACACGGCGUCAUAGAGGGUGAGAAUCCCGUAUGUGACUGGGUGCUUUUGCCUAUGUAAAGCUCUUUCGACGUGUCGAGUUGUUUGGGAAUGCAGCUCAAAAUGGGUGGUAUAUUUCAUCUAAAGCUAAAUAUUGGCCAGAGACCGAUAGCGCACAAGUAGAGUGAUCGAAAGAUGAAAAGCACUUUGGAAAGAGAGUUAAACAGUACGUGAAAUUGUUGAAAGGGAAGCGCUUGCAACCAGACUUGCACGCGGUUGAUCAUCCAGGCUUCUGUUUGGUGCACUCGAUCGUGUUCAGGCCAGCAUCGGUUUUGGUGGUUGGAUAAAGGCCUUGGGAAUGUAGCUUCUUUCGGGGAGUGUUAUAGCCCUCGGUGCAAUGCAGCCUACCGGGACCGAGGACCGCGCUUCGGCUAGGAUGCUGGCGUAAUGGUUGUAAGCGACC
Molecule: ribosomal RNA, 629 nt
Filed under: uncultured fungus
Lineage: Eukaryota; Fungi
Description: eukaryotic LSU rRNA
Rfam family: Eukaryotic large subunit ribosomal RNA
Source: RNAcentral